CAGACAUUUGGAGGGGAAUAACUUGAAAAGCCUACCAAGCAAGGUUUUUCAUAAUCAAACUUUCCUAAAGAAAUUAUUGUUACAGAUGAAUCAACUUGAAGAAUUGCCUGCUUUUCUUUUUCAAGGACUGGUGAAAUUGGAGUGGCUUUUUUCUACAAAAUAAUAAACUAAAAUUUAUGAAUCUGGAUACGUGGAUAAAUCUUACCAAUCUUGACUGGCUGGAACUGAUGCACAAUGAAAUCACUUUGGAACAUGAAACAUUUCCUUAUCUACCAUCUUUAAAAAUGUUAGACCUGGCCACACAACAGGAUAUCAGUGAUUAAAAAUGACACUUUCUCUCAGCUAUUAAAUUUAGCUGAACUGGAUCUGAGGCAAAAUGAAAUAGUAUUUAUUCAUGAGGAGGCUUUCAAAAAGUUAACGCUCCUUGAUUAUCUGGACUUGUCUUUUAAUCCACUUACACACACUCUCCAU
Homalodisca vitripennis (glassy-winged sharpshooter) is the source of this 471-nucleotide long non-coding RNA. RefSeq lists it as uncharacterized. The record is from RefSeq and is a predicted model, not a curated record. The transcript has 6 exons. Lineage: Eukaryota; Metazoa; Arthropoda; Insecta; Hemiptera; Cicadellidae.